This 381-nucleotide ribosomal RNA is filed under the name Triticum aestivum (bread wheat). Its description in RNAcentral is "partial small subunit ribosomal RNA". The record is from RNAcentral. Lineage: Eukaryota; Viridiplantae; Streptophyta; Magnoliopsida; Poales; Poaceae.
AUGAAAAUGGAUCAGAGGAUGAUCAUCGUGUCGUCGAUCAUCGGUUCUCUAGGGGUGCUGAGUGCCAUCCUGGGGUUCUCAGCCGAGGGCACGAAGCUCACUGUUUGGACCGUGUACCGGUAUCGAGGGGUGUGCCUGUACCCGCAGAACCCGGCGCUGGGGCUCGGGGUCUGCGCGGCCAUCUUCCUCAUCGUAGGCCAAAUCAUCUUCGCGGUCGUCGGCGGCUGCUGCGGCUGCUGCAAGUCCCGCGCCAUCCCCUCCGAGACCAACCAGGUCAUCGGCAUCGUCUGCGCGCGUCUUCUCAUGGUGAGUGAUCCAUCCGUCGUCAAACCAACAAGCGCUAGCUCGCGCGUGGGUGACGAACCAAUGUCUGCUGACUAA